RNAcentral lists this unclassified non-coding RNA (21 nucleotides) under synthetic construct. The record is from RNAcentral.
GACUGUCUGCGACGCAGCAUU